Molecule: ribosomal RNA, 460 nt
Filed under: uncultured bacterium
Lineage: Bacteria
Description: partial 16S ribosomal RNA
Rfam family: Bacterial small subunit ribosomal RNA
Source: RNAcentral
CCUACGGGAGGCAGCAGUGAGGAAUAUUGGUCAAUGGACGAGGGUCUGAACCAGCCAAGUAGCGUGAAGGAUGACUGCCCUAUGGGUUGUAAACUUCUUUUAUAAAGGAAUAAAACGAGGCACGUGUGCCUUUUUGCAUGUACUUUAUGAAUAAGGAUCGGCUAACUCCGUGCCAGCAGCCGCGGUAAUACGGAGGAUCCGAGCGUUAUCCGGCUUUAUUGGGUUUAAAGGGAGCGUAGAUGGGUUGUUAAGUCAGUUGUGAAAGUUUGCGGCUCAACCGUAAAAUUGCAAUUGAUACUGGCAGUCGUGAGUACAGUUGAGGUAGGCGGAAUUCGUGGUGUAGCGGUGAAAUGCUUAGAUAUCACGAAGAACCCCGAUUGCGAAGGCAGCUUACUAAACUGUGACUGACAUUGAUGCUCGAAAGUGUGGGUAUCAAACAGGAUUAGAUACCCCUGUAGUC